AAGUCGUAACAAGGUUUCCGUAGGUGAACCUGCGGAAGGAUCAUUAACACGUUUCCAACGUUUUAAAACUAAAAAUUACUUGCGUGAACCUUUUUCUUGAUUAUUUCAAGAAAAAAUUUUUCCUCCCUUAUUUUUUAACGCCCCUUUAAUUAUACUGAACUAAAUUAAGAAAGAACAAAAGUGAAAGAUUAGCAAUAGUCUUUGUGUUUUGUUUUAUUUUACGAAAUGCUGAACAACUCUUAACAACGGAUAUCUUGGUUCUC
RNAcentral lists this unclassified non-coding RNA (263 nucleotides) under fungal sp. RNAcentral's name for it is "partial internal transcribed spacer region". The stretch from base 1 to 46 matches the Rfam family "Eukaryotic small subunit ribosomal RNA", at positions 1786 to 1831 of the family's 1831-position model. The record is from RNAcentral. Lineage: Eukaryota; Fungi.